RNAcentral lists this ribosomal RNA (253 nucleotides) under uncultured bacterium. Its description in RNAcentral is "partial 16S ribosomal RNA". It matches the Rfam family "Bacterial small subunit ribosomal RNA", at positions 524 to 776 of the family's 1533-position model. The record is from RNAcentral.
UACGUAGGUGGCAAGCGUUGUCCGGAUUUACUGGGCGUAAAGAGCGCGCAGGCGGCCAGGUCAGUCGAAUGUGAAAGCCCCCGGCUCAACUGGGGAGGGUCAUUCGAUACUGCCUGGCUUGAAGAUAGGAGAGGGAAGCGGAAUUUCAGGUGUAGUGGUGAAAUGCGUAGAUAUCUGAAGGAACACCAGUGGCGAAGGCGGCUUUCUGGCCUAUUCUUGACGCUGAGGCGCGAAAGCUAGGGGAGCGAACGGG